GAAGCUUAAAUAUUGACGCAAAUGGGCCACGCACAUAUGGACCACUCACGCCCAAAUGGUCAAGCUCAAUUCUUGCGCGAGGACAGCCCACUCCAGCAUGGGCCGGCAGCACUCCAAUUCACUCACACAAUGGACCAAUUCACCGUAGACCCAGCUCCUGCAACCAAGUGCCCACACUCCCGCUCCAUCAACCUUGCACUCAUGAGCCCACAUGACAUGUCCAGCACAUCCAACAAGCACAUGGACAGCCCGCACUUCAAAGCCAUUCACGCGGACCACACUUGCACAUGGACCCACCAAGCUUCCUCACGUGGACCGAGCACGCAGCCCACUCCCGCUCAACAUUCACAUGCAG
This 355-nucleotide long non-coding RNA is filed under the name Manihot esculenta (cassava). RNAcentral describes it as "long non-coding RNA (MESC_LNC005839)". The record is from RNAcentral. Lineage: Eukaryota; Viridiplantae; Streptophyta; Magnoliopsida; Malpighiales; Euphorbiaceae.